Ipomoea triloba (trilobed morning glory) is the source of this 2165-nucleotide long non-coding RNA. RefSeq lists it as uncharacterized. The transcript has 6 exons. The record is from RefSeq and is a predicted model, not a curated record. NCBI's taxonomy places the organism in Eukaryota, Viridiplantae, Streptophyta, Magnoliopsida, Solanales, Convolvulaceae.
CUUGCUUCAGAAGACUGGACACUCUUGCUUGUAGCUUCUGGCUUCAGUGUCAAGUAGGCCAGCAUUGCGACAUAAAGCACCAUUACUGGACAGAUCAUUACUGUGGAGAAGAUGGAUACAGCCCUGGGCAUCUUUUUGCUGAAGCAAUAAUAAUUAGCUUCCCAGCUCCAGAAGAUCCGCCGAUGAUGCAGACCAUUAAACUUGGAGCAAUUGCUAUGCACCUGCAAAUGUUCCUGUGACUGAUGAACUCUGACCUGAUGCCAACAAAGACACAGCAUAAAGCUUUGAACUCCAUUUCCCUAGAGAAUCCUGCAGCCCAGAAAAAGAAAAAACAAGGGAGAAGAUGAAUCAGACAAACCAUUACAGAAAUAAACUAUGAUAUUUGAAUCUCAUCAUGUUAUUGACUGGAAAGUUAGUUAAAAGACCUUAAGCAGAAAUGCAGCUGAGUCCAGAGUGAUUUCAUUACAAUGUGCUUUCUCGUCUGCAGAAACAUAUGGAUUUGAGCAUAUGCUUCCACUAACUGAAACGACUGCUACAUUGACAAGGAAUGCUAUAAACAAUGCCAUUCCACUUUCCAACAGGAAGUACUUUGUCGCAUUCUGUAUCGAAACAGAGGAAGCAGUAAAGGUAAGAAGCUAGUCUUGUGUUUAUUUGUAAGACAAUUUUUAUUACCCUAAUCUGAUCAUUUGAACGAUGGAUCUUUCUAGAUGUGACUAAAGCUGAAUGGAGAAAUAGGUUAUGCCUGCAUAAUUAUUCACUCAAAGACAUUAGAGAAACUUCAAUAACACAGGAAAAUUUUCAACAGGAAAAAUAGUAGGAAAAUAAAAUUUUGAAUUUACGGCAUGAUAAGAGCUCCUAGAAGAGCAAUGGAGUCUCUGGUGGCACUUCCAUUGCUCAAUUUUGGGAUGAACAUUCCCAUUGCCAUGUCCUUCACAUUAGGCUGGGCAUGUACCAUUACACUGAAGAAGCACCCCCCUACAAUCAUCAAUAGUACUGCAAUUGCUAGUUCUAGCUUUCGUAUCUGCAUUCAUUCGGGAAAUGAGGGAAAUCAAGAUCUACUUAACUCUGAAUCCUUGAAUUACUAACCAGGCCAUUGCUUUGUUUAUACUAAACGUGUGAGAUCAUCACUCUGUAUCACUGAUUUUACAUCUCAGCACGUGUAGUCAGUCCAACAUCAAUUGACUUAAGUUACAAUUUGGUUACUAAUACUUUUAUUUACUUUGGAGUGGACAUUUAUUAUAUUAUUAUAAUUAUAAUUUGGUCAUUAAUUUCCUUUGUUGUUGUUAUGAGAAUUGCGCUUACGCCAUAUUUCUGUAGCCCAAGAAGCAGAAGAGUAUUCAAUCCAGCCAGCAUGACCCCAGACCAUAAUGGUAUAUUGAGGAGUAAUUUGAGAGCAAAAGCGAUGCCUAUCACUGCACGUGUAUUGAACACAAACUAAUUAUAUUGUAAUAUAGAGUACUAAAAGAAGCCUGUGCUAAUUCCUGUUUCGUUUGCUGGUUUGCAGGAUAGGGUAAGAAUAGAAUGACUUUGGAUCUUGUUAAAUAGAGCUAUCUAGAUCCCUUCCCCCUUCAAAUAUCUUAUUCUUUUUAAUUUAUUGUUGAACUUGGAUUGCUAACUGGGAUCAAUCAAUAUUGUAUAUAUGAUAUGAGAGGUAAACCUUGUGGGAUGUCAGCAGCUAUGACGGAAACUUCAGCCAGUAUCCAGAGACAAUUUGCUGAGCGAGAUUGGAUUAUAAAUGCAAAUGCCAGUCCAAGGAGCACGAUCCAUAGCAACUGUCUCACCAAACAAGUUCAAAUUCAUCAGAAUUAAACGUACAAGAAGUUUCCAGGAUCAAGAUAGGCUACAGAGACCAGUAAACCAGGACCUACAUAGCUCAAGAACUUCUUCCAAGUUGGGGUCUCCUGUAUUUGCACCAAUGAGGCCAUUUCAUUCACAGUUUUGCCUUCUUUUCUUCGACCCACCUGCCCAAUUCAAGUAGACAUACCGCAUACGUACAUCGUACCCUGAAGACAUUUGCAACCGAUUUUGUUCACUAGCUAUAGUGUGCGAGGUAAUUAGCUCUACUUUAUAAAUCCUAUACAAGGGACACUUGUGAAAAUUACUUUACACCUACUCAAAUAAUCAAGCUAAGUCAAUUACACCAAACACAUUGCGGUUUGAUGGCA